CCGGCAUGCUCUGGGCCCUCAGGCCUGUUUAGACGGCUGGGCCGGAUGUGACCAACUCCAGGCACUCGGUUCUCCGCAAGGCUGGAGCUGUCAUCUCAAAAGCCGCUCAGCCAGAAGCCAAGAGGCAGGUGUCCUGUGGGCCCUGGGCAAGCUUCUUCUCCCGGCGGGCCUCAGAUUCUUUGCCUGUGGAAAGAGGUAUUUGGUUCCAACACCCUUUGGACCCUGGUGCCCUGUUCACCUGUGGGCCAGGACAACCCCGGUUCUGCUGUUCUGAUGUGGCCCUUCCAGACGGGGGCUGGUCCUGCCUGACUCUCUCUCCCUGAAGUCGUGUGUCCUGAGCCUCUGCCCCAGGCCCUAGCCAGGAAGAGUCUAAGGAAAUGUGAACAUCGUUGCGCUCUGUCCACCACGUCCAAAUUGAAAGCAGAAGAGGCCGGAGCCUUUGCUGUUAGCUCCUGCAGAGCAGGUCUGUCUUUUAUCGCUUUGGAGUCACCUUCUUAGGAGAGACUAGGUCUGCUUCGGUGGUAAUUUUUCUCCAUAGAGUGAGCCCAUGUCCUCAACCCGACUAACCAUUCCAUCCUUAACCCGUGGACCUGGGGCUGAGUUCAGCUCCCUUUGAACCGGCUGAUCUGUUCUGUCGCCCAUCUGGCUGUUUUUGUACCUGGAUCAUACUGUUUUCCCGACCGGGGCUUCAUAGUCUGUGCUAACAGCAGGCAGGGCCAGUCCUCCCCUCUUGGUUCUUUUCUUCUCAAAGUCAGCUAGCCACUUACAAAUCUUUAUUCUUCCA
Neofelis nebulosa (Clouded leopard) is the source of this 784-nucleotide long non-coding RNA. RefSeq lists it as uncharacterized. Lineage: Eukaryota; Metazoa; Chordata; Mammalia; Carnivora; Felidae. The transcript has 3 exons. The record is from RefSeq and is a predicted model, not a curated record.